CCCCGCGCCCAGGCUGCCGCUCCGCGUUGCCAUGGCUCCGCGCGGGCCGGGCACCUCUCGCCCAGGGCGGCUCUCCACCCCACCCCGGCCCCCUCCGGGGCGGGCGCACCUUUGAAGUAGUCGUUGGCCUGCGUCUUGAGCUCCUCCGCCCGCUUCAGAGCGCCAUCGGCCGGGGGCUCGUCCCGGGGGGGCUCAGCACACUCAGUCCGCUCGCCCUCCGCCAUCGCCAUGCCGCAAAGCGACCCCCACCCUGGCAACGGCUGCCAGCGGCGCCCGGCCGAAUCGUCGCGAAGGAGUGCCGAGUUGCCGCUGCCGCUGCUGCACAAGUGUCGUAAAGCGCGGGCCCCGAAGGCGCCCUCCGCGCGCCUGCGCAGGGCCCUUUCGCCGUAGAGCGCGCGGAGGACAAGGCUCUACUGUGGCUCCCGUUCUGGAAACACAAGGUAGCCCACUCCCCAGCCUCCUUGUCUUGGCAGCCUGCCCCGAUCCCGCAACCUCCUGUCACAGCCAACAGUCAGCCUACAAGGUGGAUACGAGUAUCGGCUCCAUUUUACUGCUGAGGACCUUGACACUUGUAGAGGUCGUCACACUUGCCCAAGGUCAUACAAUGAAGGUGGCAGAGCCAGAA
Suricata suricatta (meerkat) is the source of this 625-nucleotide long non-coding RNA. RefSeq lists it as uncharacterized. Lineage: Eukaryota; Metazoa; Chordata; Mammalia; Carnivora; Herpestidae. The transcript has 2 exons. The record is from RefSeq and is a predicted model, not a curated record.